Molecule: long non-coding RNA, 526 nt
Filed under: Medicago truncatula (barrel medic)
Lineage: Eukaryota; Viridiplantae; Streptophyta; Magnoliopsida; Fabales; Fabaceae
Description: long non-coding RNA (MTRU_LNC005556)
Source: RNAcentral
UGCUUAUAAACAACAUAAAAUAGAGCAAGAACAAUUAGUAGCAUAAAAAACCAAUAUCAAAGCAAAAUCAGAAAUAGAAUCAAUCAAGCCAAACACUAAAAAUACAAAAUUAGUAACAAAAUUUCCAAAUAAAGUCACAAUUACUACUGUAAAGGUGUAUGUCUUUAUUUAAUACAUAUAGCUAUUAGACAUCUUUUAUGAACACAAAGAUGCAUCUCGACCCCCUUCUCCUUUCUCCACCCCCUUCGCCUUCGUAGAUGAAUUCAUCACGGAAAAUUUAUGAUGAUUCGCAGAAAAAUGAAAGAUGUUUAUGGAGAACAACUUGAGGAAAAACAAAUCGAUGAUGAAGAUUUACGUUUUCAAUCACUCUCUUGAGGUUGGGCAAGCAUCAGAAACACGAUUUUUGUUUCAGAAUCGCAAGAAUUGAGUUCUGGCAUUUUAGGGUUCUUGAGGGUUUAUGCGUUUAACAUAAUGACUUUUUCACUUACGUUUAUGCGUUUAAUUGUUUUGAAAGGGCUGUGUUGUU